CUUCCCCUGUGCAUCCGCUCUCCGCCUGUUAUAUUCAGAAAGUAUUAGCAGAGAGAGUACAAGUGUUCUUCGAACCACGAACGAUAAAAGGAACUGCUUCCAACCCAGAGCAAGCUACCAUUCUGUCAUCUUCCAAAGAGCCAGAGACUAAAUCUGGAGAAGAGCUCGUGGGACAUGAUCUGGAAACAGUUCAAUUGAGCAGAUAAUUUUCCCCUCGGCAGAAAGCUGCUUUGGUUGGCGGGGGACUGGGCCUUGAGGAGAGCACGUAAAGAGGUGUCAACGUCCUGUUGACUGAAGAUGUUUGAAGAUGUGUCAGGUGUUUACUGCUCUGGCUGCAGGUUCCUCCCAGCCUUGUGCUCCUCCCCGAUCUCCUGGUUCCUUUAAUGGCAAGCUAAAGAACUCAGCCGGAUUUGAGACAAAGGACCUAGUCCCAACACGGCUUGUCAACAGAAGAAUGAAGCCCAAGGGCAAGGAUGACUGGAACUCAGCUAACACCAGAUGACACUGUGAUUCAGAUGACAGCAACAAUGGAUGGGGACUGGAUUCCUACCCCUGGGAAACAAUGCAGACAGCACCCUGCGGUGAGGCGGGAGAAAUGGAGUGCACCACAGCCAAGGAGCCCCACGGGGAAAUGAGGGACAGCCUUGCCCCAGACUUCAUGUGUGUGAAGUUCAGAAGCAGAAAAGCUAUGAUCUAACAGCCAUGGUUCCGGAGAUGCUAAAUGUGACAAAGCAAUGCUUUUCCUUGGGAAACAUACUCCUGACAUCUACUCAGUGCUGAUAUGCGGCAAGACCUACCCAUCCCUGUUGCUGGCACUGCUCCUGCCUGGCAGUGCCAAGGAACUGUGAAAGUGCAUGCGGGGUUUCCUCAUCUGAGCCUUUGUUCCCCAUUCUCUUAUUCUACUGAGCCCUGAGACUAACACACAGGCCAAUCACACUGUGUGACUGGGUUUCUCGUUUGGGAGCAGAUUUUAUCUCAUGUGUACGUUUAUCCUACACACAAUAAAAAACGGUGUCCCUCCCCAUCCUCACAAUUCCCUGACCUUAACCCCACUCAGAGCUCCAACA
This is a long non-coding RNA of Eubalaena glacialis (North Atlantic right whale), 1067 nucleotides long. RefSeq lists it as uncharacterized. The record is from RefSeq and is a predicted model, not a curated record. The transcript is spliced from 5 exons. NCBI's taxonomy places the organism in Eukaryota, Metazoa, Chordata, Mammalia, Artiodactyla, Balaenidae.